AGUGAACGCUGGCGGUAGGCCUAACACAUGCAAGUCGAACGGCAGCACAGUAAGAGCUUGCUCUUACGGGUGGCGAGUGGCGGACGGGUGAGGAAUACAUCGGAAUCUACUUUUUCGUGGGGUAUAACGUAGGGAAACUUACGCUAAUACCGCAUACGACCUACGGGUGAAAGCAGGGGAUCUUCUGACCUUGCGCGAUUGACUGAGCCGAUGUCGGAUUAGCUAGUUGGCGGGGUAAAGGCCCACCAAGGCGACGAUCCGUAGCUGGUCUGAGAGGAUGAUCAGCCACACUGGAACUGAGACACGGUCCAGACUCCUACGGGAGGCAGCAGUGGGGAAUAUUGGACAAUGGGCGCAAGCCUGAUCAAGCCAUACCGCGUGGGUGAAGAAGGCAUUCGGGUUGUAAAGCCCUUUUGUUGGGAAAGAAAAGCAGCAGGUUAAUACACCGAUGUUCUGACGGUACCAAAAGAAUAAGCACCGGCUAACUUCGUG
RNAcentral lists this ribosomal RNA (492 nucleotides) under uncultured bacterium. RNAcentral's name for it is "partial 16S ribosomal RNA". It matches the Rfam family "Bacterial small subunit ribosomal RNA", at positions 29 to 507 of the family's 1533-position model. The record is from RNAcentral.